Molecule: long non-coding RNA, 481 nt
Organism: Gallus gallus (chicken)
Lineage: Eukaryota; Metazoa; Chordata; Aves; Galliformes; Phasianidae
Exons: 5
Source: RefSeq, a predicted model, not a curated record
CGCAUUCCUCCCUAUGGAUACCCUUUUAGGUCCUGGAAGGUCACAGCUCAUAAGCACCCUUUGGGUCCUGGAAGGUCACAGCAUGAGUCCCAUUCCCGCCUAUGGAUACCUUUUAGGUCCUGGAAGGUCACAGCAACGCGUCGCUUUCCUGCCUAUAGGCACCCUUUGGGUCCUGGAAGGUCACAGCUCAUAAACACCUUUUAGGUCCUGGAAGGUCACAGCUCAUAGGCACCCUUUGGGUCCUGGAAGGUCACAGCACGAGUCCCAUUCCCGCCUAUGGAUACCUUUUAGGUCCUGGAAGGUCACAGCAUGAGUCCCAUUCCUGCCUAUGGGUACCUUUUAGGUCCUGGAAGGUCACAGCAUGAGUCCCAUUCCCACCUAUGGGUACCUCUUAGGUCCUGGAAGGUCACAGCAUGAGUCCCAUUCCUGCCUAUGGGUACCUUUUAGGUCCUGGAAGGUCACAGCAUGAGUCCCAUUCCCG